RNAcentral lists this ribosomal RNA (499 nucleotides) under Anadia buenaventura. RNAcentral describes it as "partial 16S ribosomal RNA". It matches the Rfam family "Bacterial large subunit ribosomal RNA", at positions 1838 to 2603 of the family's 2925-position model. Lineage: Eukaryota; Metazoa; Chordata; Lepidosauria; Squamata; Gymnophthalmidae. The record is from RNAcentral.
AUAAAGUAUUAAAGGUAACGCCUGCCCAGUGAAAACUUAAACGGCCGCGGGAUCCUCCACCGUGCAAAGGUAGCAUAAUCACUUGUCCCCUAAAUAGUGACUAGUAUGAACGGCCAAAUGAAGAUUUUACUGUCUCUUACGACCAAUCUAUGAAACUAAUCUAUCAGUACAAAACCUGAUAUAUUAACAUAAGACGAAAAGACCCUGUGGAACUUCAAGCACACUCCAACACACCUCUGGCCUCCUGCUUUUAGUUGGGGCAACUUUGGAAAUAAACAAAACUUCCAAUCAACACAAGAUAUACAUAUCAUAUAAUACUUAACCUAUAGACCCAGUCUUACUGAUCAAAGAACCAAGCUACCCCAGGGAUAACAGCGCCAUCCCCUCCUAGAGCCCAAAUCGACGAGUGGGGUUUACGACCUCGAUGUUGGAUCAGGGCACCCAAACAGUGCAACAGCUGUUAAUGGUUUGUUUGUUCAACAAUUAAAGCCCUACGUGA